UGUAGUUGUGGGGGAUCAGAUCGUAAUCCGCCUUACCGAGUUCAGUGCCAGUUACCUCUGAAUCAACUAACAGCGGGUAAGUUUUUUUUCUUUUUCUUUUUCUAGCAAAUUUUUACCAUUCUUUGGUUUAAAUGACUUUGUGAGGGUCACCUAUACCGGAGUUUCCUUUUUGCUUUCUUUUAUUUUUUUGUUUUGCUGGAUCAUUCACUUAUUUGCAUCGGUCCCCUAUGUAGAGGAUGCGUAGGCCGGAGCUGACUGCUGAGAUAAACUACUGAGGACUUAUAUGAAAAUGAUGAUUAAGG
RNAcentral lists this long non-coding RNA (302 nucleotides) under Lathyrus oleraceus (garden pea). RNAcentral describes it as "Pisum sativum (pea) long non-coding RNA (PSAT_LNC035290)". The record is from RNAcentral. Lineage: Eukaryota; Viridiplantae; Streptophyta; Magnoliopsida; Fabales; Fabaceae.